UCAUUAAACCCUAAACACCACCCCAUCUCAUUCAUUACCAUUUCGCCACUUCGCAUACUCACACGACCACCCUAGCCCUGUUGCCAGCAUAUUAGCAUCUUUUUGGCAAACUUCCAUCUCAAAAGGCGUCGCCGUCGUCAUUGCUGACGUCGGUAUAUUCGGGCUAUCAUUGGUGUCUUCUGUCGUAGUAUCUGUCCUCUUAUUCUUAUUUUUCGAUGGCAGCAGCGAUAUAUUCGCGUUAUUAUCGGUAUCUUCGGUAUUAAUAUUUGCAUUUUUCUUCUUAUUUUUCUUUUUGUAGGCAAUGCCGCGGGCUUUGGCCUGCAUGUCUCGGACCUCGCGGAGGUAGAGGCGGACGGCGCGGGCGGCGAAGGGGUUGGCGCCCUGCUGCGCGAAGCCCGUGUUAUUGUUCUCCUCGUCGAAGGCGGCGCGGAGGCGGCCGAUGAGGGC
Molecule: long non-coding RNA, 447 nt
Filed under: Ananas comosus (pineapple)
Lineage: Eukaryota; Viridiplantae; Streptophyta; Magnoliopsida; Poales; Bromeliaceae
Description: long non-coding RNA (ACOM_LNC014448)
Source: RNAcentral